This 5197-nucleotide long non-coding RNA is filed under the name Coffea arabica (coffee). Its description in RNAcentral is "long non-coding RNA (CARA_LNC005793)". Lineage: Eukaryota; Viridiplantae; Streptophyta; Magnoliopsida; Gentianales; Rubiaceae. The record is from RNAcentral.
AGAAAUUGGAAGAUUGGGAAAUCUUCGACACCCAAAUCUUGUUGCUUUCCAAGGUUACUAUUGGUCCUCCAGUAUGCAGUUAAUUUUAUCUGAAUUUGUUCCAAAUGGAAAUCUGUAUGAUAAUUUACAUGGGCUUAGUUAUCCUGGAACCAGCACCGGUGCUGGUAAUCCUGAAUUAAACUGGUCAAGGAGGUUUCAGAUAGCCUUGGGUACUGCCAGAGCCCUAGCCUACCUUCAUCAUGACUGCAGACCUCCUGUUCUUCAUCUCAAUGUCAAGUCCACUAACAUUCUCCUUGACGACAACUAUGAAGCUAAAUUGUCCGACUAUGGUUUGGGGAAGUUACUUCCUCUGCUGGACAAUUUUGGGCUAACCAAUUUUCACAAUGCAGUUGGUUAUGUUGCACCUGAGUUAGCUCAAAGUCUCAGACUAAGUGAUAAAUGUGAUGUUUACAGUUUUGGCGUAAUUAUGUUAGAAUUAGUUACUGGAAAGAAACCUGUGGAAAGCCCGGCAGCAACUGAGGUGGUGAUUUUGUGUGAAUAUGUUAGGGAUUUGAUAGAAAGGGGUACUGCUUCAGACUGUUUCGAUAGAAGUUUGCGUGGUUUUGCAGAAAACGAGCUGAUUCAGGUUAUGAGAUUGGGAUUAAUUUGUACUUCUGAAGUGCCUACCAGGAGGCCAAGCAUGGCUGAGGUAGUUCAGUUUCUUGAGUCCAUCAGAAAUGGUUUAGGCUUAUAGCAAGUCAACAGAAAGAACUGUUGGACAACCAUGGCAUUCAGAGUACAUGUGGGGUGAUUAGGAGUUUAACUUUUUCAGUAUAAAGAUACAAAAGAUUCUUUUGUAUUCAUUUUGUGAUUCAUCAUCAUCAAUUGUUCCCUGUAAUUCUGCAAUAAAUUCAUUCGUUUUUUUAUCAUCUCUCGAUGCAAUCAGAGAAGAGUUUGUAGCAACUCAUUCUCUUCCAUCUGCUUUUAACUCAGCAUUUCUAUACUGGUACAUAAACUGCUUUCCUAGACUCCUAAUAUCAAUACUAACAUCUUCUUAAGCCGAGGGUUACCAGCUUCUUCACUGGGAUAUAUGUUUUUAUCUCAUUGCCCUGUGGAUUUAGUUCCAAGAAUACGUAGGCAAGGAAGAUGCUAUUUGCUGCAAAAUGCUCCGUUUCUGCAUCAAGCUUGAAGAUGUCAAUUUAUAGUGAAGAAAUGAAAGCGCUUGGUUGUUUUUAUCAUAUUUGGUCAUCCCGUGGACACCAGAAUUUCCACUACUUUGAGUGAGAAGGAGAUAGUAAUUAAUCACUUUAACUCAAUUGUUGCACAAAAUUGAUUGCAGAGGAAAGAGAGUGACAUAACCAAUUCUCUGUCCUAGACAAAUGUAAGAGUUCUUCUAAACUUAUUAUUACUACCAGAAAAAGGUCGUGACUUGCUUUUUGCAUCAGCAUUAAAUGACCUAUUUACAAUUUCAGAUAUUUAAGGCAAAUAAACUCUUCGAUUUUGCAAUAGCAGAAUGAAGAAACCUACUAAGACACAUCAAGGCCUUGUAGACACUCAGCUCAUGAGUACAUGAUACUGUUCAGGCGUGCCAGAAAUGUUUUGACUCCGAGUUCCUGCCAGAACUGUUCCUGUCAGCUCAUGAGUAUCUCCAUCUCUGAAAUGAACGGAAGACACUUCAUCUUUAAACAGCCAGAACUGCAGACAAAACCAGAUCAUCAAAUGCAGCACGGGUCUCCAAUUCUAAGUUCCUCCACCAAUUGUUCCCAAACAAUCUGAUAUCUUCAAAUCAUCCCUCAAUGAUUCCCCUCAUCUGGUCUGGUUCUGACGUAGCCUGAAACUCACAGAAUUCUACAAGAGGACAUCCUCCAAAGAAAUUGUAGGGUUUUGAUUCUUUAGCUGAAUGAGCAAAGCAAUAUCAACUCAACUACGAGAUUUACAGAUUUCAGAAACUUUCCUAAUACGAUCCAUGACUACAGGAAUAUCAUUUUCGCUCAGGGUGGUGAAGCAUAAUCUGAACCAACCAGGUUCAAUACAGUGACAGGAAGAUCCGGGAGUAACAUUAACCUUACCCACACUCAAAAGCUUAUCCCAAAGCUCAAGUUCUCCUUUUUCAUUAUAAGAUCUGAUUAGCCCACUCAUGUCCAUCCAACAGUAGAAACCUCCAUUACUCUUCAUGCACUCAAUUCCCAACUGCUUUAGUCCGGUAACAAAUGCAUUGUACAUCCUUUCAAGUCUUUCCCGAUUAUUCUUCAUAAACAAGUGGAUGAAUUUUGUGUCUGCCAGCAUUGAGAUAAGCAAACGCUGGCUUGGAGCUGAAAUGGAUGAAAAUCUUGCCAACUUUUUAGCAGCAGCCAAAACAUUCUCAUUAAAAGUAUAAAUAACUCCAACCCUAAAGCCUGGAAGAGAGAGAUCCUUCGAAAGACCAUACACUAUAUGGACUCUUGUCCGAUCAAAAUCUUCAGAAUCAAUUAUCUCUGCCAAACUGACAAAAUCUUCACUUCCAUGAGUGGAUCCUGCCAAUAUUUCAUUGGAAAUGAGGUGAAUAUUCUUCUCUGUUGCAAAGUCCAAAAGACUAUAAAGUGUCUCUCGAUUGAACAAAUUGCCCACAGGAUUUGAAGGGUUCGAAAUUAUGAUCCCACGAACUUUAAGCCCCCGUUUCCUUGCUUGGUUAAAGGUUCGAUCAAGAGCAGUAGUACUCAGACAGAAAUUGUCAGCACUGCGGCAAGGUAUGGGUAUAAUUUCGACACCUGUUCGCCAUUUUACAUCCCUGUCAAGACUGGACCAUAACUUAUGACAUCAGUGCCUGGACAAAAGAAGCUGAUGACCAGAGAUAAAUAUUCUGUGAACAGUCAAUUAAUCUUACUCGGGAUAAUAUGGUGAUGGAACAAGAAAUGCAUUUCCAGGAUCAGCUAAGCAGAAACUGAGAAUUUCAAUUGCAGGGGUUGCACCAGCUGUCAAAACAAUUUGUGAAGGGUUGAAGGAUACUGAUUUGUCCAUUACUUGAGACAUGAAUCCAGCUACUGCCUAUAAGACUAGUGAAAUCAGCAUAUACAGCAACAAGAUAAAAAGCAAGUCCAAGCACCGUACACAUGAUUGCAAGUCAGCUAAUUGAAGAGACAAAUUGGAUAUCCUAAUAGCUGGAAGCUAUAAGAGCUACGCCUAGAGCCAAAAGUAAGCUAUAAGAGCUACGCCUAGAGCCAAAAAGUCAAACUUUAUCCGAGUCCAUGUUAAUAGUAACCUGUGGACUUAUUGCCCGAAUAAUUACGUUUAAGACUCCAAAAGUGGCAGGGGGAGAGAAAGUGCUACUACAAGAAGCAGAAACAUAUUCAAAACUAUCAUCUUUUAACUAAAGUGAGUUAGCAACUAGUGUUCAUUAAGCACAUCUGUCAAUAUCAUAAUUAUGCAGACACAGUACUUUGGUUAGGACACUCAGUAAUGUCAAAGCCAUUAUUUACAAGUGACAAGUCACAUACAACAAAUUGUAGUGACCAAACUUGUAAUUCAUUGUUUGAAAACCACAAUUGAUGGGACCAUUCCAAAAGAAUUUGGGAGUAUUGAAUGGCUCCAAGCUCUGGAUCUGCAUAAUCUGGGCAUCAGUGGUGAGAUACCAGAUGAGAUAACCAACUGCAGAUUUCUUCGUGAGCUGUGAGUCCAAUUUUUCUAUCCAAUUCUCUGUCUAAAUUAUCCAUAUUGCUUUCACUCUGUGUUUGAAUGGACUUUGUAAUGUUGCUGCAGGGAUGUUUCUGGAAACUCGUUACGGGGCAGCAUACCGCAAAACCUCUACAACAUGUCAUACCUUGUAAUUCUUGACCUACGUAGCAACCAGCUUAAUGGGAGCAUACCAUCCACACUUGGAAAUUUGUCUAACUUACAUUCUUUAGAUUUGUCACAAAAUAUUUUAUCAGGACAAAUCCCUUCUAGUCUGGGAAAUUUGAAAAAUUUGACUCACUUCAAUGUCUCUUAUAAUAACCUUUCUGGGGCUAUUCCUUUGGUACAAAGCAUCCAAGGAUUUGGAUCUUCAGCCUUUUCAAAUAAUCCAGGCCUCUGUGGUGCUCCAUUGGAGACAUCAUGUGCACCCAAUGGCACCAAAACUGAAACAGGAAAGCCAAAGUUGAGCCCUUCAGCCAUUGUUGCUAUUGUUGCAGCUGCUGUGAUCCUCACAGGUGUCUGUGUGAUAACAGUGAUGAACAUCAAGACUCGCAGGGGGAGACGAGAAGAUGAAGCAGUGGUUGUAGUAGAAAGCACUCCACUGGCAUCAACAGAUUCAAAUGUCAUAAUCGGAAAGUUGGUUCUGUUCAGCAAGGCUUUGCCCUCAAAGUAUGAAGAUUGGGAGGCUGGUACUAAAGCAUUGCUGGAUAAGGAGUGUCUAAUUGGUGGGGGUUCCAUUGGAACAGUGUACAAAACUACUUUUGAGGGUGAGAUCUCUAUUGCUGUGAAGAAGCUUGAGACCUUGGGAAGAAUCAGAAACCAAGAUGAGUUUGAGCAAGAAAUUGGAAGAUUGGGAAAUCUUCGACACCCAAAUCUUGUUGCUUUCCAAGGUUACUAUUGGUCCUCCAGUAUGCAGUUAAUUUUAUCUGAAUUUGUUCCAAAUGGAAAUCUGUAUGAUAAUUUACAUGGGCUUAGUUAUCCUGGAACCAGCACCGGUGCUGGUAAUCCUGAAUUAAACUGGUCAAGGAGGUUUCAGAUAGCCUUGGGUACUGCCAGAGCCCUAGCCUACCUUCAUCAUGACUGCAGACCUCCUGUUCUUCAUCUCAAUGUCAAGUCCACUAACAUUCUCCUUGACGACAACUAUGAAGCUAAAUUGUCCGACUAUGGUUUGGGGAAGUUACUUCCUCUGCUGGACAAUUUUGGGCUAACCAAUUUUCACAAUGCAGUUGGUUAUGUUGCACCUGAGUUAGCUCAAAGUCUCAGACUAAGUGAUAAAUGUGAUGUUUACAGUUUUGGCGUAAUUAUGUUAGAAUUAGUUACUGGAAAGAAACCUGUGGAAAGCCCGGCAGCAACUGAGGUGGUGAUUUUGUGUGAAUAUGUUAGGGAUUUGAUAGAAAGGGGUACUGCUUCAGACUGUUUCGAUAGAAGUUUGCGUGGUUUUGCAGAAAACGAGCUGAUUCAGGUUAUGAGAUUGGGAUUAAUUUGUACUUCUGAAGUGCCUACCAGGAGGCCAAGCAUGGCUGAGGUAGUUCAGUUUCUUGAGUCCAUCAGAAAUGGUUUAGGCUUAUAG